CAGUAACCCCCAUGUCCACACCGACAGCUGCAUUAAACUCUUUGACAAAGCAGUUAGUUACUUUGAUCAGAAUAAUCCAUUUGCCCUAUCUCAGGGACCUUUCACCUGAAGCUUUUUCUGAACAGGGGAGAGGGGCGGGUAGACCCAUUUGUUUGGAUGAGAGCUGUCCAUUUCUCCUAUCCCAGGCAAGCUUGCCCUGUCUCCUUCCUGUCAGCCUUUGUUAGCCUUGACCCUUUAAUCAUUUGGGAUGCUCCUAGAGACAUUAGGAUUUUAGUCUGUCCUUGAGAAAACACUGGACCCUUCCUGCUUCCCAUUUUCAUGAUGAAGGAGAAACUCUUCUACAGGAGCCAAUUUGAUGAGACGAAUUCCAGAAUUCGAGCAGUUAAAUGAGAAAUCACAUUUGCCACCUGGUCUGGAGUGGGGCCAGGGGAGACCGUUGGUGAAGUGACUGGCACACAAGCAAGAAGACCUGACAACCCACAUAAACACCCAGGAGUGUGAGGUGGCAUGCUUGUAGCCCAACUGCUGGGGUAAGGACAGGUAGGUCCCUGUCCCACCUAGCCUGUUCAGUGAGCUUCAGGCCAGUGAGACACUGUCUCCAGAAGGAGAGCCUUCAUCCAGCAGCUGAUGGAAGUAGAAGCAGACAGCCACAGCUAAACACUGAACUGAACUGGAAUCCAGUUGCAGAGAAGGAGAAGUGAUGAGAAAAGGGGUCAAGACCAGUCUGGUGAAACCCACAGAAACAGCUGACCUGAACAAGGGGGAGCUCCUGGCCCCCCAGACUGAUCACUGGAAAAUGGCAUGGAACUGAUCCAGACCCCAUGAAUGUGGAUGUCAGUGUGGAGGCCUUGGAAAUCUAUGGGGUCUCUUGUAGUGGAUCAGUAUUUAUCCCUAGAGUUAGAAUGGACUUUGGGAGCCCAUUUCACAUAGAGGGAUACUCCCUCAGCCUACACACAUGGGGGAGGGCCUAGGCCCUAUCCCAAAGGAUAUGACAGACUCUGAAGAACCCCCAUGGAAGACCUCACUCUCCAUGGGAGCAGAAUUGGUAGGGUGUUAGUGGAG
This 1062-nucleotide long non-coding RNA is filed under the name Cricetulus griseus (Chinese hamster). RNAcentral describes it as "lncRNA (ENSCGRG00015035766.1)". Lineage: Eukaryota; Metazoa; Chordata; Mammalia; Rodentia; Cricetidae. The record is from RNAcentral.